GGGCCCGUAGCUCAGUUUGGAUAGAGCGAUGCCCUCCUAAGGCAGAGGUCGCGAGUUCAAAUUUGCAAUCCAAACCUGCGUUUUGGCAUAUGAAAAUCUCGCCGGGCCCG
Molecule: transfer RNA, 110 nt
Filed under: Microcaldota archaeon
Lineage: Archaea; Nanobdellati; Microcaldota
Description: Candidatus Micrarchaeota archaeon (hot springs metagenome) tRNA-Arg
Rfam family: tRNA
About the family: Transfer RNA (tRNA) molecules are approximately 80 nucleotides in length. Their secondary structure includes four short double-helical elements and three loops (D, anti-codon, and T loops).
Source: RNAcentral